UUUUUUUUUUUUCUUUUUUCAAAAUUUCCCUUUGAACAUAGGAUUCUCUUUUUGAUGUCACCUGUUCAGUCAGGUCACCGGUUACCUUAACAACUGCGUUGCCAUGUAUUAGUUUUAUGUUUGUUCCCUUUGUGGUGGGGAUGUAUUAUCAGAAUCACCUGAGUGGCUUGAGGGACGGGGGCUACGUUUAAGAAAGCUUCCCAGGUGUGUUGUAAGAAGCCCCAAGGAAUGAAUCGCUGGUCCCGUUCUUGAGCCUGGUUGCUAAUGGAACCCACUGGGAGCACUUUUCAAAAAAGGAUGCCACUUGAAAUUCAUUUAUGUGCCAGGCGCGGUGGCUCACGCCUGUAAAUUUUAUAGUAUGAGGAUUAUAUCUCAAUUUUUUUUAAAUGGAAAUAAUUUUCAGGGUAAAUCCAGUUGACCCCAUACUCCAAGGCCUCCCCCAUGCUUGGGACAGGCACCUGUCCACAGGACAGAGCUCUAAGUGGCAGAAAGAACACGUCUCCUGCAGUGACUAUGUGGUCUCCUGGCCGAGCUCCAAGCCGCCUGGAAACGCCACACCCAAGCUGGUAGAUGCCCUCUUUCCUGGAGCAC
Molecule: non-coding RNA, 591 nt
Filed under: Pongo abelii (Sumatran orangutan)
Lineage: Eukaryota; Metazoa; Chordata; Mammalia; Primates; Hominidae
Source: RNAcentral